Molecule: transfer RNA, 73 nt
Filed under: Phyllosticta yuccae
Lineage: Eukaryota; Fungi; Ascomycota; Dothideomycetes; Botryosphaeriales; Phyllostictaceae
Description: tRNA-Asp
Source: RNAcentral
GGGUUAGUAUCUCAAUAGGUAGAGGAUUUUCUUGUCAAGAAAAGAUAUGUCGGAUCGAGGCCGACCUAACCCG